ACCCUGGUAGUCCACGCCGUAAACGAUGGGCGCUAGGUGUGGGAGGUGUCGACUCCUCCCGUGCCGAAGCUAACGCAGUUAAGCGCCCCGCCUGGGGAGUACGGCCGCAAGGCUAAAACUCAAAGGAAUUGACGGGGACCCGCACAAGCAGCGGAGCAUGUGGUUUAAUUGGAUGCGACGCCAAGAACCUUACCAAGGCUUGACAUGGUCGGGAAAGCUGGAGAAAUUCAGCCCUCCUUCGGGACUCGAUCACAGGUGGUGCAUGGCUGUCGUCAUCUCGUGUCGUGAGAUGUUGGGUUAAGUCCCGCAACGAGCGCAACCCCUGUCCUAUGUUGCCAGCGAGUAAUGUCGGGGACUCAUGGGAGACUGCCGGUGACAAAUCGGAGGAAGGUGGGGAUGACGUCAAGUCAGCAUGCCCCUUAUGUCUUGGGCUACACACGUGCUACAUUGGCCGGUACAAAGGGCUGCAAAACCGCGAGGUUGAGCGAAUCCCAAAAAGCCGGUCCCGGUUCGGAUUGGAGGCUGCAACUCGCCUCCAUGAAGGCGGAGUUGCUAGUAAUCGCGGAUCAGCAAUGCCGCGGUGAAUACGUUCCCGGGUCUUGUACACACCGCCCGUCACACCACGAAAGUUGGCAACACCCGAAGCCGGUGGGCUAACCCGCAAGGGAGGCAGCCGUCUAAGGUGGGGUUGAUGAUUGGGGUGAAGUCGUAACAAGGUAAC
This 721-nucleotide ribosomal RNA is filed under the name uncultured bacterium. Its description in RNAcentral is "bacterial SSU rRNA". It matches the Rfam family "Bacterial small subunit ribosomal RNA", at positions 784 to 1500 of the family's 1533-position model. The record is from RNAcentral.